GACUCGAUAGCUCAAUGGAUAGAGCGGCGGUCUAAAUCCCCGAAGAUGCGAGUUCAAAUCACGCUCGAGCCA
Molecule: transfer RNA, 72 nt
Filed under: Paramuricea clavata
Lineage: Eukaryota; Metazoa; Cnidaria; Anthozoa; Malacalcyonacea; Plexauridae
Rfam family: tRNA
About the family: Transfer RNA (tRNA) molecules are approximately 80 nucleotides in length. Their secondary structure includes four short double-helical elements and three loops (D, anti-codon, and T loops). Further hydrogen bonds mediate the characteristic L-shaped molecular structure. tRNAs have two regions of fundamental functional importance: the anti-codon, which is responsible for specific mRNA codon recognition, and the 3' end, to which the tRNAs corresponding amino acid is attached (by aminoacyl-tRNA synthetases). tRNAs cope with the degeneracy of the genetic code in two manners: having more than one tRNA (with a specific anti-codon) for a particular amino acid; and 'wobble' base-pairing, i.e. permitting non-standard base-pairing at the 3rd anti-codon position.
Source: Rfam by way of RNAcentral